This 835-nucleotide long non-coding RNA is filed under the name Spirodela polyrhiza (greater duckweed). Its description in RNAcentral is "long non-coding RNA (SPOL_LNC001048)". The record is from RNAcentral. Lineage: Eukaryota; Viridiplantae; Streptophyta; Magnoliopsida; Alismatales; Araceae.
UGGGGUUCUCUGCAGGGUAUCAGUGCAAAUUCUGUGCAGCUACGUCACACUUCCACUCUAUGCUCUCGUCUCUCAGGUAUCCUCCUCAACUGUCUGCUACUUGUCGUCCCUCUGUUAUAGAAAGGAAGGGAUCUAGUCUUCUACACUAGGAGAUUCUGAAAGGAAACCAGGCGUGAACGGGGGGCUGACCAGCGUGAUCUGGACUUGUGUUCCCGUCUCAGAUGGGAUCGCGCAUGAAGAGGUCCGUCUUCGACGAGCAGACAGCCAAGGCUAUCAAGAAGUGGCAUCAGGUGGCGAAGAACAGGCGCGGGGGCGGCAAGUCCUCGACUCACUCCCCAUUCCGGACUCCCACAGAGAGCCGCAGCGGGAGCCCUAGCGCCUCCCCAGCGCGGCCGUUGCAGAGGUUCAUGACCACCGGCCACGCGACGGCGAUGACGACCCUUCCUCGGCGGUACUACUCCGACAACGAGCUCUCGGACAAUGAACACGAGGCCCCGCUCUUCUCACCCCACCACAAGGACUCCGCCACGCCGGCGGAGCAGCGCCUGGAGGUGACCGAAGACCAGCGAAACCCCGCCGAUGACUUCUCCUUCGCAAAGGCCGCCGCCGGCGGCUCCUCCGGCCGCCCCCCGCCGGUCUGAUCCCCUCUGCGCCUCUCCGAUCCCCCUCACCUGGGGAUGCCGUACCAUUCUGUCUACAUUCCCUUUCUGCAGAUUCUUUUUUUUCAAGCUUCCAACUGCUCCAUCUCGCGCUCCUCUACGUGGACCCUAUUUAUAUAGGAGGCCUUUUUGCCUGACGUGGAACUCGCCACGUCGGAUGAGAAAAAUGUGUGGGC